AUUUAUUUAAGUUAAUUUAAUUUUUUUAAUAAAAAAUUACUUAUAAUAUUUUUAGUAUUUUUAAGAAAUAAUCUAUUAGUUUAUGUACUGUCAAGUGAAUUAAAAUAAUUUUUAAGUAAAUUUUUUUUAGUACCUUUUGUAUCAGGGUUAUUUAAAUAAUUUAAUAAUAUUUAUUAUCCCGAAUUAAAAAGGUCAAAUAUUUUAUUAACACUUUAAUUGUUGAAUCAAUUUUGUUAAUUAAAUAUUAGUAGCUAAAUGUUAUUCGAUUUUUGUCUAUCUGGUUAUUGGGGAUUUAAUUAAAUUAAAUACUAUUUUUUUAAUAUUUUAUAUUUUUUAAAUAUAUAGUGUAAUUUUAUUAGGGAUAAUCUUAAUAAUUUAACCUAAAAUUUUUUUUACUUAGAAGUUUAGUAUCUUUAAAAUUUUGAAUAAAGUUUGUAAUUAAUUUUCUUCUUCAUUUAAUAUUUUAUUAAAUUUAGGUUUUUACUCAAUUUUAUUAUUAAAUAUUAAUAUAAUAUUAAUUAUGAUUAAAUUAGUAUAGUUUACAAUUUAAUUACUAUGAAUUCGACAUUUUUUAUUUCCAACUGUUUACCAAAAACAUUUCUUUUAGUUUUUAUUAAAGGUAUGUUCUGCCCUAUGGUAUUUUCUAAAUGGCUGCAGUAUUUUGACUGUGCAAAGGUAGCAUAGUAAUUAGUUUCUUAAUUAGAAUCUUGUAUGAAUGGAUUAAUGAGAAAUAUAUUUUAUUUAUUUAAUUACUAAAAUUUAAAAUUUAGGUUAAAAUGCCUAGUAAAAUUCUUGGGACGAUAAGACCCUAUAGAACUUAAAAUAAAAUUAAACAUAUUAAUUUUUAAUUUUUAUAUUUUAAUUGUUUAUUUUAUAUUUCGCUGGGGUGGUGAAUAAAUUUUAACUUUAUUUUUAAAAAUCAUUAAUUUAUGAUAUUUUGAUCCUUAUUUAAAGAUUAUAAGAUUAAGUUACCUUAGGGAUAACAGCGUAAUUUUGGUGGGGAGUUCAUAUCUAUACUGAUUUUGCGACCUCGAUGUUGAAUUAAGAAUAUACUAAGAAGCAGAAUUCUUAGCGUUAAGUCUGUUCGACUUUUAAAUUCUUACAUGAUUUGAGUUCAAACCGGUGUGAGCCAGGUUGGUUUCUAUCUUAGAAAAUUAUUAAUUAUUAAGUACGAAAGGACCAAUAAUUUAUACUUCAAGUAUUUCUUUAAAAACAG
This 1216-nucleotide ribosomal RNA is filed under the name Zahniserius cylindricus. RNAcentral describes it as "16S ribosomal RNA". Lineage: Eukaryota; Metazoa; Arthropoda; Insecta; Hemiptera; Cicadellidae. The record is from RNAcentral.